GAUGAACGCUGGCGGCGUGCCUAAUACAUGCAAGUCGAGCGAACAGACGAGGAGCUUGCUCCUCUGACGUUAGCGGCGGACGGGUGAGUAACACGUGGAUAACCUACCUAUAAGACUGGGAUAACUUCGGGAAACCGGAGCUAAUACCGGAUAAUAUAUUGAACCGCAUGGUUCAAUAGUGAAAGACGGUUUUGCUGUCACUUAUAGAUGGAUCCGCGCCGCAUUAGCUAGUUGGUAAGGUAACGGCUUACCAAGGCAACGAUGCGUAGCCGACCUGAGAGGGUGAUCGGCCACACUGGAACUGAGACACGGUCCAGACUCCUACGGGAGGCAGCAGUAGGGAAUCUUCCGCAAUGGGCGAAAGCUUGACGGAGCAACGCCGCGUGAGUGAUGAAGGUCUACGGAUCGUAAAACUCUGUUAUUAGGGAAGAACAAAUGUGUAAGUAACUAUGCACGUCUUGACGGUACCUAAUCAGAAAGCCACGGCUAACUACGUG
This 497-nucleotide ribosomal RNA is filed under the name uncultured bacterium. RNAcentral's name for it is "partial 16S ribosomal RNA". It matches the Rfam family "Bacterial small subunit ribosomal RNA", at positions 28 to 507 of the family's 1533-position model. The record is from RNAcentral.